ACGUACACUCCUACGGGAGGCAGCAGUGGGGAAUUUUACGCAAUGGGGGAAACCCUGACGUAGCGACACCGCGUGAGCGAAGAAGCCCUUUGGGGUGUAAAGCUCUGUCAGCUGGAACGAAAACAAUGACGGUACCAGCAGAGGAAGCAUCGGCUAACUACGUGCCAGCAGCCGCGGUAAGACGUAGGAUGCGAGCGUUGUCCGGAUUUAUUGGGCGUAAAGAGUUCGUAGGUGGUUUGUUAAGUUUGGUGUUAAAGAUCGGGGCUCAACCCUGGGACUGCACUGAAUACUGGCAGACUCGAGUGUGGUAGAGGCUAGUGGAAUUCCCAGUGUAGCGGUGAAAUGCGUAGAUAUUGGGAAGAACACCGGUGGCGUAGGCGACUAGCUGGGCCAUAACUGACGCUGAGGAACGAAAGCCAGGGGAGCGAAUGGGAUUAGAAACCCUUGUAGUCCCAUGAU
Molecule: ribosomal RNA, 459 nt
Filed under: uncultured organism
Description: partial 16S ribosomal RNA
Rfam family: Bacterial small subunit ribosomal RNA
Source: RNAcentral